CAAUAGCGUAUAUUAAAGUUGUUGCAGUUAAAAAGCUCGUAGUUGGAUUUCUGAUCGAGACAUCAGGUCGGGUCCGAGAGGAUCAUGUACUUUGAUUUGUUUUGAUCAUCCUUGGGGAGAGCAUUUCUGGCAUUCAGUUGUCGGGAUUGGGAUCCUCAUCGUUUACUGUGAAAAAAUUAGAGUGUUCAAAGCAGGCCUCGGCCUCUGAAUACAUUAGCAUGGAAUAAUAAGAUAGGACUUUGGUGGUCUAUUUUGUUGGUUUGCACGCCAAAGUAAUGAUUAAUAGGGAUAGUUGGGGGUAUUCGUAUUCAAUUGUCAGAGGUGAAAUUCUUGGAUUUAUGAAAGACGAACUACUGCGAAAGCAUUUGCCAAGGAUGUUUUCAUUAA
Molecule: ribosomal RNA, 387 nt
Filed under: uncultured eukaryote
Lineage: Eukaryota
Description: partial 18S ribosomal RNA
Rfam family: Eukaryotic small subunit ribosomal RNA
Source: RNAcentral